AGUGAACGCUGGCGGUAGGCCUAACACAUGCAAGUCGAACGGCAGCACAGUAAGAGCUUGCUCUUACGGGUGGCGAGUGGCGGACGGGUGAGGAAUACAUCGGAAUCUACUUUUUCGUGGGGGAUAACGUAGGGAAACUUACGCUAAUACCGCAUACGACCUACGGGUGAAAGCAGGGGAUCUUCGGACCUUGCGCGAUUGAAUGAGCCGAUGUCGGAUUAGCUAGUUGGCGGGGUAAAGGCCCACCAAGGCGACGAUCCGUAGCUGGUCUGAGAGGAUGAUCAGCCACACUGGAACUGAGACACGGUCCAGACUCCUACGGGAGGCAGCAGUGGGGAAUAUUGGACAAGGGGCGAAAGCCUGAUCCAGCCAUACCGCGUGGGUGAAGAAGGCCUUCGGGUUGUAAAGCCCUUUUGUUGGGAAAGAAAAGCAGCAGGUUAAUACCCCGCUGUUCUGACGGUACCCAAAGAAUAAGCACCGGCUAACUUCGUG
Molecule: ribosomal RNA, 492 nt
Filed under: uncultured bacterium
Lineage: Bacteria
Description: partial 16S ribosomal RNA
Rfam family: Bacterial small subunit ribosomal RNA
Source: RNAcentral